This 370-nucleotide ribosomal RNA is filed under the name uncultured organism. Its description in RNAcentral is "partial 16S ribosomal RNA". It matches the Rfam family "Bacterial small subunit ribosomal RNA", at positions 527 to 895 of the family's 1533-position model. The record is from RNAcentral.
GAAGGGUGCAAGCGUUGUUCGGAUUUAUUGGGCGUAAAGCGCGCGCAGGCGGAUAAUCAAGUCAGAUGUGAAAUCUCGGGGCUCAACCUCGAAACUGCGUCUGAAACUGUUUAUCUAGAAUCUUGGAGAGGGAGGUGGAAUUUCGCAUGUAGGGGUAAAAUCCGUAGAGAUGCGAAGGAACAUCGGAGGCGAAGGCGACCUCCUGGACAAGUAUUGACGCUGAGGCGCGAAAGCGUGGGGGAGCAAACAGGAUUAGAUACCCUGGUAGUCCACGCCGUAAACGAUGAGAACUAGAUAUGGGUGACUUUGACCUCUUCCGUAUCGUAGCUAACGCAUUAAGUUCUCCGCCUGGGAGUACGGUCGCAAGACU